UCCAGCUUAUCACUGGCAGUCUCUUUAUGGUUCUUAGAUUUACCUAUUAGCAAAUAAAGAUAGGGGUUGCGCCCGUUAAAGGACUUAACCCAACAUCUCACGACACGAGCUGACGACAGCCAUGCACCACCUGUGCGAAGUCCGGCCUAACCGAAGAUCUAAUCUCUUAGAUCGGCGACUUCCAUGUCAAGAGCUGGUAAGGUUCUUCGCGGAUUAUCGAAUUAAACCACAUGCUCCACCGCUUGUGCGGGUCCCCGUCAAUUCCUUUGAGUUUUAGUCUUGCGACCGUACUCCCCAGGCGGAUUGCUUAACGCGUUAGCUUCAACACUGAAGAUUAUUCAUCCCCAACGUUUAGCAAUCAUCGUUUAGGGCGUGGACUAC
This 381-nucleotide unclassified non-coding RNA is filed under the name uncultured Alphaproteobacteria bacterium. Its description in RNAcentral is "contains 16S-23S intergenic spacer region". Lineage: Bacteria; Pseudomonadati; Pseudomonadota; Alphaproteobacteria. The record is from RNAcentral.